UACGUAGGGUGCGAGCGUUAAUCGGAAUUACUGGGCGUAAAGCGUGCGCAGGCGGUUUUGUAAGCCAGAUGUGAAAUCCCCGGGCUCAACCUGGGAAUGGCAUUUGGGACUGCAAGGCUGGAGUGCGGCAGAGGAGACUGGAAUUCCUGGUGUAGCAGUGAAAUGCGUAGAUAUCAGGAGGAAUACCGAUGGCGAAGGCGGGUCUCUGGGCAGUAACUGACGCUGAGGAGCGAAAGCGUGGGGAGCGAACAGG
Molecule: ribosomal RNA, 253 nt
Filed under: uncultured bacterium
Lineage: Bacteria
Description: partial 16S ribosomal RNA
Rfam family: Bacterial small subunit ribosomal RNA
Source: RNAcentral